RNAcentral lists this non-coding RNA (24 nucleotides) under Arabidopsis thaliana (thale cress). Lineage: Eukaryota; Viridiplantae; Streptophyta; Magnoliopsida; Brassicales; Brassicaceae. The record is from RNAcentral.
AGUAGCUCUCAAUAAAUAGAUGGU